AUGAGUGUUGUACAAUGUCCCCAUCUUUCUCUAUCUAACACCGACUCUCUGCCUCUCCACCCCCCCCCAUCGAUGCACCUCCGCCUCUGCCCCUAAACCUCCGUCUCUAAAACCCGACCGUCCGGCCGCAUACUCCGAUCGCCGUUGACAGACGACCGUUGUUCUUUGUUUUUGUAUGUUUACACUUCGUUUAGCCUAAAAUUUCUAUGGUUUUGACGGUUUAUUUGUGGUUGUUUUUCUGACCGUUUUUGGGUUUCGUUGUUUAAGUGGUACUUUGAAGACAUUGUGGUUACAUGUGGUUGUUUUGAUGGAUAAGGGGUUGUGAUUCACUCCCCUGGGAGUUUGUUCUAUUUCUUUGUUGUUGUUUAGGUUUUCACAUUUUUGUCUUUGGUUCAGGUUACCUACAGGUAAAUGUUUAGUUCUUAUCUCGAUGAAAAUGAAGAUGGUUUUGAUAUUCAUAUGAAGUAAUGCUAUGACGAUGCUUAAGAUUUGGCAUGGCAUUAUUUAUUGCCGCCAUCUAGAGCUUCUGAGCUUGGUUUCCUGCCUUUUGUAUGGUUUACUUGUGGUCGUCACGACAUGGAGUUUCAU
This 588-nucleotide long non-coding RNA is filed under the name Helianthus annuus (common sunflower). Lineage: Eukaryota; Viridiplantae; Streptophyta; Magnoliopsida; Asterales; Asteraceae. The record is from RNAcentral.